UGUACCCUUUGUACACACCGCCCGUCGCUACUACCGAUUGAAUGGCUUAGUGAGAUCCUCGGAUGGGUCCCGGCGUGCCCGGCAACGAGCGCGCUGGUGUGCCGAGAAGACGAUCGAACUUGAUCAUUUAGAGGAAGUAAAAGUCGUAACAAGGUUUCCGUAGGUGAACCUGCGGAAGGAUCAUUACCGAGAACGCUGUGAAAAGCGAGUGACGACCCCCAGGGUCCCCCGGCGCCGGGGGUUGCCCGAGUGGAACCGGUACCUACACGACGCGGCCCGACCUGCCUCGGGCCGGGGCGGGGAGCAAAACUCCCGCAGCUCGACGGUCUCAAGGGGGGGUACCUGCGCCGCUCGCAGCCUUUGGAGCGGCGACAGCCCCGACUGCCUUGGGCGAGGUUUAAAGAGCGGGCCCUGCCUCGUUGCCUCCGCCCCCCCUCCGUCGACCUGCGGGUCUCGCCUUGGCCGCGGGUCGCGCCAUUUUUCGCACCCUUCACCUCCCUGCUCGGGAACGGUCAGUGGGAAGAAAAUCAAGUCUCGAAAGAAAAGAAAAACUCAGAAAAUAACUCUGAGCGGUGGAUCACUCGGCUCGUGCGUCGAUGAAGAGCGCAGCCAGCUGCGAGAAGUGAUGUGAAUUGCAGGACACAUUGAACAUCGACGACUUGAACGCACUUUGCGGUCUCGGGUAACUCCCGGGACCACGCCUGUCUCAGGGUCGACUGCAGUCUGACCUCGCUCUCCGCCUGGUGGGUCUCCCCCGAGAGAGCGCCUUGGGCCCGGUCGCAGCGCCUCCCCGCCUCAGGGAGAGCUCCGUCCCCUCAAGUGCAGACCGUAGAGUGACCGAGAGCUGGACUCCCCACCCCGCCUGUCGCCCGCCUACCUGGGGAGGUCGCACGCACACGUCCUCGUUCCGUCGCGCGGAGCGCUGCCACGGCCUACAGGUGGCGAGCUACGCGGGUCGGCUGUCGUGCGAGGCCCUCGUCCGUCCAGUCCCAACCGACCGAAAAAAAGGUCGUCGUUUCCUCGACCUGAGAUCAGACGAGAUUACCCGCUGAACUUAAGCAUAUCAAUAAGCGGAGGAAAAGAAACUAACAAGGAUUCCCUCAGUAACGGCGAGUGAAGCGGGAAGAGCCCAGCGCCGAAUCCCCCCGGCCCCUGCCGGGCGGGAACUGUGGCGUUAGGGACGCCGAUCGACCGUCGGCCACGGAGCCCGAGUCCUCCUGAUCGGGGCCUUUCCCAGAGCGGGUGUCAGGCCUCUACUGGCUCCGGGCUGGCGGCCGUCGCGGCUGUCCCAAGAGUCGGGUA
Molecule: ribosomal RNA, 1302 nt
Filed under: Perinereis nuntia
Lineage: Eukaryota; Metazoa; Annelida; Polychaeta; Phyllodocida; Nereididae
Description: eukaryotic LSU rRNA
Rfam family: Eukaryotic large subunit ribosomal RNA (bases 1022-1302)
Source: RNAcentral